GACGAACGCUGGCGGCGUGCUUAACACAUGCCAGUCGUACGGUAAGGCCCUUUCGGGGGUACGCGCGUGGGUAACGAGCGAGUAACACGUGAGUAACCUGCCCACCACUUAGGGUGGAAUAACGGCAACUAGCUCUAAUUAAUGCUAUAUGCUACUGCCUCCUGGAUGGGGUUGGUUAGCUCCGUCCGGUGGGUGUGGACGGACGGGCGGCCUAUCUGUUUGUUGGGGGGGUGGCUGGCUAGCAAGGCAUUGGUGGGUAGCCGGCCUGAGAGGGUGACCAGGCACAUUGGGACUUGGAUACGGCCCAGACUCCCACGGGAGGCAGCAGGGGGGAAUAUUUCACAAUGGGCGCAAGCCCGAUGCAGCAACGCCGCGUGCGGGAUUACGGCCUUCGGGUUGGAAACCGCUUUCAGCAGGGACGAAGCUGUUUGUGACGGUACCUGCAGAAGAAGCACCGGCUAACUACGUG
Molecule: ribosomal RNA, 469 nt
Filed under: uncultured bacterium
Lineage: Bacteria
Description: partial 16S ribosomal RNA
Rfam family: Bacterial small subunit ribosomal RNA
Source: RNAcentral